UACAGAGGUCCCAAGCGUUGUUCGGAUUCACUGGGCGUAAAGGGUGCGUAGGUGGUCGGGUAAGUCUGAUGUGAAAUCUCUGGGCUCAACCCAGAAAUGGCAUUGGAUACUAUUCGGCUAGAGGAGUGGAGGGGGACUGGAAUACUUGGUGUAGCAGUGAAAUGCGUAGAUAUCAAGUGGAACACCAGUGGCGAAGGCGAGUCCCUGGACACUUCCUGACACUGAGGCACGAAAGCUAGGGGAGCAAACAGG
This 252-nucleotide ribosomal RNA is filed under the name uncultured bacterium. Its description in RNAcentral is "partial 16S ribosomal RNA". It matches the Rfam family "Bacterial small subunit ribosomal RNA", at positions 524 to 776 of the family's 1533-position model. The record is from RNAcentral.